UGGGGAAUAUCGCACAAUGGAGGAAACUCUGAUGCAGCGACGCCGCGUGAAUGAUGAAGGCCUUCGGGUUGUAAAGUUCUGUCCUUGGGGAAGAUAAUGACGGUACCCAAGGAGGAAGCCCCGGCUAACUACGUGCCAGCAGCCGCGGUAAUACGUAGGGGGCGAGCGUUGUCCGGAAUUAUUGGGCGUAAAGGGUUCGCAGGCGGUCUGAUAAGUCAGAUGUGAAAGGCGUAGGCUUAACCUAUGUAAGCAUUUGAAACUGUCAGACUUGAGUUAAGGAGAGGAAAGUGGAAUUCCUAGUGUAGCGGUGAAAUGCGUAGAUAUUAGGAGGAAUACCAGUGGCGAAGGCGACUUUCUGGACUUAUACUGACGCUGAGGAACGAAAGCGUGGGGAGCAAACAG
RNAcentral lists this ribosomal RNA (402 nucleotides) under uncultured bacterium. RNAcentral describes it as "bacterial SSU rRNA". It matches the Rfam family "Bacterial small subunit ribosomal RNA", at positions 355 to 775 of the family's 1533-position model. The record is from RNAcentral.